Magallana angulata is the source of this 808-nucleotide long non-coding RNA. RefSeq lists it as uncharacterized. The transcript is spliced from 3 exons. Lineage: Eukaryota; Metazoa; Mollusca; Bivalvia; Ostreida; Ostreidae. The record is from RefSeq and is a predicted model, not a curated record.
CGGUCGAAUAGUUUUCGAGAAAUCUCGUGCACAAAAUUUGUGGAAAAAAAUAAUAAUAACUAGAUACGAUCUCGUUACGAGUAACGAGUAGGUCUUCCGUUCAAUUUUUAAACGAUACGAUUAAAAUAUCAAUGAAAUUUCAGAAUUCCACCUAAAACACUCCCUUUCAGAUAAUGAAAACGAUUGUCAAUAUCCUUUAUAAUGCGUAACAAAGUGUUUUGCUUUUUCACAUUUUGCAUAUUAAAGAUUUAAGAGUUAAGUCCCCUAAAAUCCCAAAUUACGUCAUCAAUGGGUGUGGCAAUGAGUUUUACAAACUGAUAUUGUUAUGAUCAAAAACUUUGUUUCUGUAAUGCAUUACAAAAUCUUGAUUGUUUUUAAAGUAUGUGAAAAAGACUUUACGAGUGGCUUAGCCCCUAAUGUAAGGGGUCAUCCCCUUUUUCCUGAGUUCAUUCAAAAGGUCUCACAAAUACUAACAAUAAUCCUUAAUGGGGACAGACAUUGGUAUUUUGAUUGAUGGAAUCGAUGAGAAUCAUCAAUGCAAGCAUUUUCCCUUCCACUAUGCUUAACAAAAUAUGUCUCCUUCUCUAGAUAUAUUGCAUCAACGGUUAAGUACUUUGGCCCCUAAAAAUUCCUAAUUACGUAAUAAAUGGGCGUGGCAAUGAUUUUUUCUAAUAGAUAUUGGUACGGUCAACAACUUUGCUUCUAUAAUGCAUUACAAAAUCUUUAUCAUUUUUAAGUUAUUUGUAAUAGAGUUUACGAGUGUCUUGGCCCCUAAUUGAGGGGCCAGCCCCUUUUUCUUAAAUUCAAU